RNAcentral lists this transfer RNA (72 nucleotides) under Camelus bactrianus (Bactrian camel). It matches the Rfam family "tRNA". Rfam says of the family: Transfer RNA (tRNA) molecules are approximately 80 nucleotides in length. RNAcentral also lists the same sequence under 1 other name. Lineage: Eukaryota; Metazoa; Chordata; Mammalia; Artiodactyla; Camelidae. The record is from Rfam by way of RNAcentral.
GAGGAUAUAGCUCAGUGAUAGAAUGAGUGCUUAGCAUGCGCGAGGUCCUGGGUUCAAUCCCCAGUACCUCCA